GGACGCAAGUCUGAUGGAGCAACGCCGCGUGAGUGAAGAAGGGUUUCGGCUCGUAAAGCUCUGUUGUUAAAGAAGAACGUGGGUGAGAGUAACUGUUCACCCAGUGACGGUAUUUAACCAGAAAGCCACGGCUAACUACGUGCCAGCAGCCGCGGUAAUACGUAGGUGGCAAGCGUUAUCCGGAUUUAUUGGGCGUAAAGCGAGCGCAGGCGGUCUUUUAAGUCUAAUGUGAAAGCCUUCGGCUCAACCGAAGAAGUGCAUUGGAAACUGGGAGACUUGAGUGCAGAAGAGGACAGUGGAACUCCAUGUGUAGCGGUGAAAUGCGUAGAUAUAUGGAAGAACACCAGUGGCGAAGGCGGCUGUCUGGUCUGCAACUGACGCUGAGGCUCGAAAGCAUGGGUAGCGAACAGGAUUAGAUACCCUGGUAGUCCAUGCCGUAAACGAUGAAUGCUAAGUGUUGGAGGGUUUCCGCCCUUCAGUGCUGCAGCUAACGCAUUAAGCAUUCCGCCUGGGGAGUACGACCGCAAGGUUGAAACUCAAAAGAAUUGACGGGGGCCCGCACAAGCGGUGGAGCAUGUGGUUUAAUUCGAAGCUACGCGAAGAACCUUACCAGGUCUUGAC
This 621-nucleotide ribosomal RNA is filed under the name Pediococcus stilesii. RNAcentral describes it as "bacterial SSU rRNA". It matches the Rfam family "Bacterial small subunit ribosomal RNA", at positions 373 to 985 of the family's 1533-position model. The record is from RNAcentral. Lineage: Bacteria; Bacillati; Bacillota; Bacilli; Lactobacillales; Lactobacillaceae.